Pseudophryne corroboree (corroboree frog) is the source of this 132-nucleotide small nuclear RNA. Lineage: Eukaryota; Metazoa; Chordata; Amphibia; Anura; Myobatrachidae. The record is from RefSeq and is a predicted model, not a curated record.
AAGAUGUAUGAAAGAGAGAUGGUUAGCACUCCCCUUGACAAGGAGGGAAGUGGUCCCAGUGGCCUUUAUGACACAUAGGGGUAUAUGCAAUUGCGGUCGAAUUCCCGAAAUUGUCGAAUUUCGGGUCAUUUU